Molecule: ribosomal RNA, 253 nt
Filed under: Blautia wexlerae DSM 19850
Lineage: Bacteria; Bacillati; Bacillota; Clostridia; Lachnospirales; Lachnospiraceae
Description: partial 16S ribosomal RNA
Rfam family: Bacterial small subunit ribosomal RNA
Source: RNAcentral
UACGUAGGGGGCAAGCGUUAUCCGGAUUUACUGGGUGUAAAGGGAGCGUAGACGGUGUGGCAAGUCUGAUGUGAAAGGCAUGGGCUCAACCUGUGGACUGCAUUGGAAACUGUCAUACUUGAGUGCCGGAGGGGUAAGCGGAAUUCCUAGUGUAGCGGUGAAAUGCGUAGAUAUUAGGAGGAACAUCAGUGGCGAAGGCGGCUUACUGGACGGUAACUGACGUUGAGGCUCGAAAGCGUGGGGAGCAAACAGG